CUAUGUAGUCAAUCUUCAAAAUUAUCGAAAUACAUAAUCUGAUCGCAAAUAUAUUCAAAUUCAUGGUAAAACUUUUCUAAAUAUGAAAAAGCACCGUUCUCGAUAUUGUUCGAUUGUCAGUAAAUAAAUCCUAAAAUAAAACUAUCACAUGGCAUCCAUUGUUGUCUUGUAAACAUUAGAACAAAUAGGACACAAAUUAGGUUACUAAUUACAGUACAUGUGAAAAAUACAUAAAAAUGAACACUGACUCCUAUAUAUUACAGUACUGAAAUCGAAUACCGUUUGAAUAUUGAUAAUCAUUUAACCGUUGAUUUUCAAUUUCAAUAGCAAGGUGCGUCACGGAUUUUGUCUCGAUAAAAUCUGUCAUGGGCUCAGAAGAGAUUGUUCUUCUUAAAUGGCUAUUAAUUAAGA
Molecule: long non-coding RNA, 411 nt
Filed under: Mytilus galloprovincialis (Mediterranean mussel)
Lineage: Eukaryota; Metazoa; Mollusca; Bivalvia; Mytilida; Mytilidae
Source: RNAcentral